This 87-nucleotide unclassified non-coding RNA is filed under the name Pseudomonas fragi. The record is from RNAcentral. Lineage: Bacteria; Pseudomonadati; Pseudomonadota; Gammaproteobacteria; Pseudomonadales; Pseudomonadaceae.
GGUGGGAGCGGGCUUGCUCGCGAUAGCAUCGAUACGGUUUUCCAGUUAGACCGAGUUGAUUCAAUCGCGAGCAAGCCCGCUCCCACA